CAGCCGCCGCGGUAAUACGUAGGGUGCGAGCGUUAAUCGGAUUUACUGGGCGUAAAGCGUGCGCAGGCGGCCCGUUAAGACAGGUGUGAAAUCCCUGGGCUCAACCUAGGAAUUGCGCUUGUGACUGGCGGGCUCGAGUACGGUAGAGGGGGGUGGAAUUCCUGGUGUAGCAGUGAAAUGCGUAGAGAUCCGGAGGAACACCGAUGGCGAAGGCAGCCCCCUGGGCCUGUACUGACGCUCAUGCACGAAAGCGUGGGGAGCAAACAGGAUUAGAUACCCUGGUAGUCCACGCCCUAAACGAUGGGUACUAGCCGUUUGGUGCGCGAUAGCGCUGAGUGGCGAAGCUAACGCGAGAAGUACCCCGCCUGGGGAGUACGGCCGCAAGGUUGAAACUUAAAGGAAUUGGCGGG
RNAcentral lists this ribosomal RNA (410 nucleotides) under uncultured microorganism. Its description in RNAcentral is "bacterial SSU rRNA". It matches the Rfam family "Bacterial small subunit ribosomal RNA", at positions 509 to 917 of the family's 1533-position model. The record is from RNAcentral.